This 403-nucleotide ribosomal RNA is filed under the name uncultured bacterium. RNAcentral describes it as "partial 16S ribosomal RNA". It matches the Rfam family "Bacterial small subunit ribosomal RNA", at positions 30 to 526 of the family's 1533-position model. The record is from RNAcentral.
AUUGAACGCUGGCGGCAGGCCUAACACAUGCAAGUCGAGCGAGCGGCGGACGGGUGAGUAAUGUAUGGGGACUGCCCGAUAGAGGGGGAUAACUACUGGAAACGGUGGCUAAUACCGCAUACUAUCGGAUAACCCAUAUGGGAUUAGCUAGUAGGUGGGGUAAAGGCUCACCUAGGCGACGAUCUCUAGCUGGUCUGAGAGGAUGAUCAGCCAAAGUGAGACUUGGACAGUGCCAAGAUUCCUACGGUGGCGUCAGUGUGUAUGAUUGCACGAUGGGCGCAAGCCUGGUACAGGCCUGCCGGCUGUAUGAAGAAGUCCGUAGGGAUGUAAAGUACGAUCAGCAGAGAGGCGUUGGCCGCGGAAGAAGCCCCGGCUAACUCCGUGCCAGCCGCCGCGGAAGGUC